CCCCUCCCUCCAUGAUGAAUUUCCCUGAAAUGGAGUUAUGCACCAUAAAAUGAGGAAAAUGGCUCUUUCAAUGGACUGUAAUGACUUUGUUGUUGCUAGGAUGGAGGCCUUGUAGUGUGAUGUACAGAAAGACGGGCCAUUAUUUCAACAGGUUUCAUUUCACACUGGAUCCCUGUUUUGGUGUUGACCAUUACUUUAUAAUAAUUGAUGUCCUGUUCAUGGCAGAAAUGGAAUCUCUCUAUCUAUCUUUCUCUGUCUCACACACGCAGGCACGCUCUCUCAAAUAAGCACGCACUCGUUCUCGCGCUCUCUCGCUCUUACUCUCUAUUUCCCCUCUCCAAUUACUUUUUGCGGUUUUCCACAGAAGUUAAAGAAAUGCAAUGUCAGAUAAACAACUGAUGGCAAAUAUGAAGCAUUCUGCCAGAUAGACUACAAUGUGCAGAUUGCAGACGUGUACCGCGAGUGCAGUGUACCAGUGGCGCCAUCUACAAGGUGAGCAAAGAAGAAUUCGACACAGCUCCGGACUCUCUCUCGGAGGAAUACGGAGUGAGGAUUACACAGUUUCCUCAACGAAUCAGUUGUACUAUAGACAAUGUCGUGGAGGUAAAUUGACACCGAACCUACCUGAAUUGAGGGGGAAACAGAAGCGCCUCUCUCUCUCCCGGGCAUUGCUGGUGGUUGAUUGAAACACUGCCAGGUGGGCAGAGCCUGAGGCCUGAGUUAACAGAUCGCCUGCUGCUGCUGUGUGCGUGGCACGGAUCGUCAGUGACUGUCAUGGAGGAAGUGUGUGUGUUUGGCCUUUGAAGAGCUCUCAUCCAGCACAAAGUAGCCCGGUCCUCCCCCUCCACCCCAUCAUCCUCCCCACCCCCCUCUCCACAGCUAGCGACAGACCCCGGACAAUAGUCUCUCCAAGAUUUAUGAGGCCUGGCUCUUUGUCAAUAAGAGGAGUUUUAUUUCACCACUUUUUUUUUCUCUUGUCUUCUUCCUCUGAAAAAGGUGUGGGACCCAACUGUGAAAUGGGAGACGGCUGUUUGACAUGUGAAGCCCACCUGGAGAAAAUGUCUGCUUUCAGGCCUGGAUAUAAGGAAUUACUCAACAAGAAGGAAACGUCACUGUAGGGAAUGUCGUUUUCCCUCUUCCCUUCUCAUUAACAACAACAUGUC
This 1163-nucleotide long non-coding RNA is filed under the name Oncorhynchus kisutch (coho salmon). Its description in RNAcentral is "lncRNA (ENSOKIG00005046940.1)". The record is from RNAcentral. Lineage: Eukaryota; Metazoa; Chordata; Actinopteri; Salmoniformes; Salmonidae.